GACGAACGCUGGCGGCGUGCUUAACACAUGCAAGUCGAACGGAAAGGCCCUGCUUUUGUGGGGUGCUCGAGUGGCGAACGGGUGAGUAACACGUGAGUAACCUGCCCUUGACUUUGGGAUAACUUCAGGAAACUGGGGCUAAUACCGGAUAGGAGCCCCCGCUGCAUGGUGGGGGUUGGAAAGUUUCGGCGGUUGGGGAUGGACUCGCGGCUUAUCAGCUUGCUGGUGGGGUAGUGGCUUACCAAGGCUGUGACGGGUAGCCGGCCUGAGAGGGUGACCGGCCACAUUGGGACUGAGAUACGGCCCAGACUCCUACGGGAGGCAGCAGUGGGGAAUAUUGCACAAUGGGCGGAAGCCUGAUGCAGCAACGCCGCGUGCGGGAUGACGGCCUUCGGGUUGUAAACCGCUUUCGCCUGUGACGAAGCGUGAGUGACGGUAAUGGGUAAAGAAGCACCGGCUAACUACGUG
Molecule: ribosomal RNA, 468 nt
Filed under: uncultured bacterium
Lineage: Bacteria
Description: partial 16S ribosomal RNA
Rfam family: Bacterial small subunit ribosomal RNA
Source: RNAcentral